Molecule: non-coding RNA, 26 nt
Filed under: Homo sapiens (human)
Lineage: Eukaryota; Metazoa; Chordata; Mammalia; Primates; Hominidae
Source: RNAcentral
UCCAAAGGUGACAGAUGGAUUGUGCU